GACGAACGCUGGCGGCGUGCUUAACACAUGCAAGUCGAACGGAAAGGCCCUGCUUUUGUGGGGUGCUCGAGUGGCGAACGGGUGAGUAACACGUGAGUAACCUGCCCUUGACUUUGGGAUAACUUCAGGAAACUGGGGCUAAUACCGGAUAGGAGCUCCUGCUGCAUGGUGGGGGUUGGAAAGUUUCGGCGGUUGGGGAUGGACUCGCGGCUUAUCAGCUUGUUGGUGGGGUAGUGGCUUACCAAGGCUUUGACGGGUAGCCGGCCUGAAAGGGUGACCGGCCACAUUGGGACUGAAAUACGGCCCAGACUCCUACGGGAGGCAGCAGUGGGGAAUAUUGCACAAUGGGCGGAAGCCUGAUGCAGCAACGCCGCGUGCGGGAUGACGGCCUUCGGGUUGUAAACCGCUUUCGCCUGUGACGAAGCGUGAGUGACGGUAAUGGGUAAAGAAGCACCGGCUAACUACGUG
This 468-nucleotide ribosomal RNA is filed under the name uncultured bacterium. RNAcentral describes it as "partial 16S ribosomal RNA". It matches the Rfam family "Bacterial small subunit ribosomal RNA", at positions 28 to 507 of the family's 1533-position model. The record is from RNAcentral.